UUACAGCUGGUAAACGUGAAAUGCCAUGUCACCAGAGUGAAAAUUCUGAAUCUUCCUAAAAACCACUCACAUAUACCCUCUCCUUCUACUCUCUUUCUCGCCGGAGUUUCAGUUUCUCCGUUCAACCCCAACUCUUCUCCGGCCAAUUCUUACUCGUCCCACCAUUCUUUCCUUCAAUUCUCACCAGAGUUUGCCCCUUUUCCACCAAAGUUCACUCCUUUUUCACCAAAGCUCACAACUUUUUCCCACCCAAGAAACCAUUUUCCGCUCAAACAAACAGGAUUUUCUCCUUUUCUGGUUUAUGGGAUUUCGACAUAGUUCCUAAAAAGAGACACUUGAGAGGGAACUAAGGUUUUCUCUGUAUACACAAAAGGGUUUUUAGAGAGAGAAAACAGAGUGCAGUUUCACUGAGCCAUUUUUGUUUGCUUUGAAGGAAAUUUUUUAUGUGUUUUGGUGAAGAUUUUAGGGCCUAAAGCUUCAGAUUAUUUGUUUGGCAAUGCAGAAAAUAUAUUCUGGGUGAGUUUUUUCUCAUCUUCAUUUUUGAGAAAUUUUUUUCUCGUAUAUGGCUUUGAUUCUCAGAAAUUUAUUCUAAGGUUUGGAUUAUGUUGAUGAGAUUACCUUGAAGAACUAUGCUUAAUUACUGAAUAUUUUUAUGAAUUUAGGUUGUAAAUAUAUAAAUAUAUCAGUGAUUGAUUAAUUAAUUAAUUAAUUGAUUGAAUGAAUGAUUAAUUGACUGAUUGAUUAGGGGCUAGUUGUUAGAUUGUGUAUUCAAUGGGUGGAUUCAUGCAUGAUUUAAAUUUAUGAAAAAUGGGCCCACCAAAGUCAUUUCUUUAAUUCUUAGUUUUCAAUCACAUUCACCAUUGAUUAUGAUCAUUUUAAGAUCAUAUAUGCAUGGCAUACCCAAAAUUUUCUAUCCAAUUCUACCCAUUUACAAUUAUGUUUAUGGAAUCUAAUGAAAUUGAUGUAUUUGUUCAUGAAAAUGAGCUCAUUUGGUCUGAUUUGAUUCCAGGUCAUGGCAUUGCAGUGAGUUUAGGUGUGUUAUUGGUAUGAUUAUGUUAAUCAAAGAUUCGAAAUGGCCGAUUUCUUCAUGAAAAUGAGCUCAUUUGGUGUGAUUUGAUUUUGGGUCAUGGCAGUGUAGUGAGUUUAGAUGUAGUAAACAAACAAUUUGUUUGUGAAAAUGAACUCAUUUUAUUUGGUUUGAUUCCGGGUCAUGGCAUUGCAAUGAGUUUAGGUGUAUUAUUGAUUAUUUGAAUGAGGGCGAUUUGUUAUGGGAAAAUGAGCUCAUUUGGUGUGAUUAUGUGAAUCAAAAGGAUCUGAAAAUGCUCAGAUUGUUCAUGAAAAUGAGCUCAUUUGGUCCGAUUUGAUUCCGGGUCCUGGCAGUGCAGUGAGUUUUGGUGUAUUAGCAUGAUUGUAAUUUAUAUCAAUUAAACUAUUAGAAACACUAGAUUUCUUCACGAAAAUGAGCUCAUUUUAUGUGAUUAGGUUUCGGGUCACUGCAAUGCAGUGAGAUUUGGUGUAUUAGCAUGCGAUUGGAAAAAUGAUCUCAUUUCAUUUGAUUGAUCUCCGGCCAUGAUAUCACAAUGAGUCUAGGUCUACUACUGUGAUUAUAUCAAUCAAACGACUAAAAAUGCUUGAUUUAUUCAUGAAAAUGAGCUCAAUCCAUGUGAUUCCAUUUUGGGUCAUGACAAUGCAGUCAGUUUAGGUGUACCGUUCAUGCAUUGUGUAAUUAGUAGGUGAUUGGGUUUUUGAUUAAUUAAUCAAGCUUGUGUCAUUCNNNNNNNNNNNNNNNNNNNNNNNNNNNNNNNNNNNNNNNNNNNNNNNNNNNNNNNNNNNNNNNNNNNNNNNNNNNNNNNNNNNNNNNNNNNNNNNNNNNNNNNNNNNNNNNNNNNNNNNNNNNNNNNNNNNNNNNNNNNNNNNNNNNNNNNNNNNNNNNNNNNNNNNNNNNNNNNNNNNNNNNNNNNNNNNNNNNNNNNNNNNNNNNNNNNNNNNNNNNNNNNNNNNNNNNNNNNNNNNNNNNNNNNNNNNNNNNNNNNNNNNNNNNNNNNNNNNNNUAAUUGAUGUCUACCAUGUUCAUUCAUCCUAUUAGCUUCCCUAGUAAUGAUGAAUAUGAACCGAAAUUAGGGUCACCUUUUGUGUCAUUUUCCCUAGUCCAUGGUAAUGGAAACAUUGGUUACCCACCCAUAUUCACUUGGAAAUAUGUACCUAUUAGGGAUUUGGUGACUGGACAAGGCAUUUACACUAAGUGUACAAGGCCAAUGUACUAAAUGUACAAGGGUGUACAAGGGUGUGCAUCUUACUUUUUCCAAACGUGGGGAACAAUCCUCACACAUGUUGCUUGAUAACACACGCAUUGCAUGCAAUUUAAUUGAUGUCUACCAUGUUCAUUCAUCCUAUUAGCUUCCCUAGUAAUGAUGAAUAUGAACCGAAAUUAGGGUCACCUUUUGUGUCAUUUUCCCUAGUCCAUGGUAAUGGAAACAUUGGUUACCCACCCAUAUUCACUUGGAAAUAUGUACCUAUUAGGGAUUUGGUGACUGGACAAGGCAUUUACACUAAGUGUACAAGGCCAAUGUACUAAAUGUACAAGGGUGUACAAGGGUGCCUAUCUUGAAGGAUUUCAAAUGCAAAUGGUGGUUGCUCAUUGUGGCCGAUGUGCUGAACGUGUUGUGUUUGGCGAUGAGAUAACUGAUGGAGGAAGGGAUGACCUAGAAAAGAUCACGAAGGUAAUUGUACUUAACAUCAACUUGUUAUAAGUUCAAACUGAUCCUUCGAGGACAUGCUCCAUUGAUUAAAAAAAAUUAUAUUUAGCAGACACAAUACUAUUUGAGGCAGCACUUAAGGAGUUGCAUGCUUUGGUGCAUGAUUAUUUGCAUUUAUUAUGUGUUUGCUUUAAAAUGAACAAAUGGGGAAAAUAAGCUUCACUCAGGAAAGCAAAAUUCAUCAGGAUAAAAAUACAAAGUACAAAUAAAAGGAGGAAAUUUAUAAUAGAAGUGAAGACAGUUGCAUUUUGAACUUGGCUGUCUGUCAGUAGACUUAAGGUUCCUAAACCUCGCCCUUGAUAUGAGCUGGAAGCAAGGCUUACGAAAAUUCUUUGGGACAUGGAAUUCAAAUCUAGUAAUGCUCAUUCCAUGAUACUUGUUUUACCUUUAUGAUUUGCACUUUAUUUAGACACAUUGUUAUGAUUUUCAACUAACCCAUUACAUGGUUUCAUUACAUGUCAAUGUGGUUGAUGAUGGGAAACGGAUUUCCACAAUCCUCAAGGACCAUGUGGGAAGGAUUAUGUUGGGUUUUUUUCUAUUUAUAAAUCAAGUGUUUAUAUUCAAGAGAAAAGGCUUUCAUACUUGGUAUGUACCCAUAAGCAUCACUGAAAAUUCAACUUCUCUUUCUAUCUAGAUUGAUUACAGAAGCAGGCUACGUUUUUUUUCUAAUAGGAUCACAAUGUAAAUUAAUCAUGAAUGCACUUUAUAAUUUGAUGUGUUUAGAUUUAUGUACAAAACGGAUUUUUAUGCUGCUAGUAACUUCUGUUGGUGUUUAAAACAAACAUGGAAUUAACCAUAAUGUUCUCUGUGCUCUUUGCAAGAUACUGGUAUAUUGAGUUGUGGAUGAUCUUAUUUGGUUUAUAUGCCUUUCCAAUCCCUCAUGCUACUUGUUUUCUCACUUUGCAUGGUGCUUGUUUCUGUUUCUGAAACCUUCUUCCAUGGAGUUUGGCUCUAUUGUUAGUAGUGAUGGUAAUAAACGUCUAUUUCCUUGCAAUUUCUUCAGGAGGGACCCUUGCCUCACAACGAUCGGGUGAGAUAUCAGCCACUGGACCUAUAUCCUGCUCCACUCCACAUAUGUUAAAAGUGUUAACGGAACGACGCAGGGUUCUCCCUUCCUACCAUGUUGUCUUUGAUCCUAGUUUGGCUGCCAUCUAUCUGAGUCCAAGUUAGACAUUGAUUCGGGCUCCUGGGAGAAGAAAGAAACCCGGCUUUUGACACCAAUGCUCUGGUUCUUAGAUGCUGAAGCUAUUGAAUAUUGUCAGCUGACUCUUGAGUAGAAGGGUGAAAUGCCAAUGGAAUGUAUCUUAAGAUGAGGCUUAGGACUGUGGUUUACAACAGUUUUGUUGGCUUAUUUAUUACUGUUUUGAUGUUUCUGUACAAUGAAAUUGAAGUUAUAAGAAGGGUCGAUCUGUCUUCGUGUACAGAGAAAUCUGUAAUGAAAAUACUUUUUGCCCAUUAAUGUAUUGAACAUAGAAAAAUUGUGAAAUCUCGAGUUCUAGCGAACCCAUCCCUGUUGAAGUGAUCAAUACAGAAGUCCAAAGAGGAAACACCAGGAGUUUCUGAAAAUGUUUUUUAAUGUUUUGUAAAACAUUUUGUUUGAUAACUUGAAAUUUUUUUAACUUUUUUUUUUUAAAAAUUUUAAAUAUAUUUUUUUUAAAAAAUUUAUAUGUAAUGUUUUAUUUUUAAUAUUUUUUAUAUUUAUAUAAUAAUAUUUAAAAAACAAGUAAAAACAAUUAAAAUAUAUAAUUUAUAACUUUUCUAUCUUUAAACAUCUAAGAGUAUAAAAUUAUUUAUUGAUUGUCAAUUUUUUCCUAGAAAAUAAAAAAUUGGUUUUGAAAACAAUUAACAAAUAGGGUUUUAGAGUGAAUUUGACAACUGUUUUGAAAAACAAAAUUCUAAAAAAUAUAAAAUAGUUUUUCAACUUCAAAAACAACUAAUUAAAGAGUAAUACAUGUAACCGGUCGACCGGACAAUGAUAGGGGGUCGACCGGUUGUUGCAAAAACUCCUCAUAUAAUGUAGACCGGUCGCUGGCAACCGGUCGACCGGAUUACUUCAAAAAUUUUAUGCCAUCUCACUAUUACAAGAGACACAAAAUAUGCAAAUAUGUAAAUUUUUUUCAAAGUUAUUACUUCAAAAAUUUUAUCAGUUCUAAAACUAUUUUGAGAACUAACAUUUCAUGAGAGAAUGGAAUAUUUUUUCUUAUAUUGGAUGUUCUAAGAAAAUCAACUUGUUAAACAAUGCAAUGACAUGACUAAUAUUGGUAAUGUGGGAUUAGUUCAAACUUAUCUAAUACAUCAUUACAAUGUAGCCUUGAAAAACAUGACAUUAUGAAACAGUAUAUUAUUUCAUUUAUAUUUAUGCUUUUGGUAACCCUUUACUAUUAUAUUUAUGUGUCUUAAUUAUUUUGAACAUUCAAGUCUACUUCACUUACAUUACACAUUUGGGUGCGUGAUAAAUUGCAUAAAAGGUCUAACUCCUUCCAAGUUGAUGAGUUGUUCAUUGCUUACUCAUGGACUUAGGUAAUUUGCCGAAUGUUAAAGUUCAGUACCUCCUAAUAUGGAUGAGAUGACUUGGCGAUCUUGUAAAUAUUACUAAACAACAUAUAAUAAAGUAAAUAGCUGCUUAUAUAUAUAUAUAUAUAUAUUGAAUCCAAAUUAAAACGAAAUCAAAAACAUUUGCAUGCUGACACAACUCUAAAUAUACGUAUGCUAAUACAAAAUAUAUAUGUCCCAGUUUUGCAAGCUAAACAAAAUAACGACGUGGUCUCAAUGCAAUCAAGGUGCAGCGGGUGGCGGUGGGAACACGGCGCGGAGGUACGCCAUUAACUCCUCAUGCUGACGCUCUUGGCGAUCAAGCCUCUGUAGGAUAUGCUCAUGCGUAGCCUGCUGCUGAUCCAUGCGCUCCUCAAUACGAGUCCCAAGUGAGGUAAUCUGCGCAGACAACUCCAUCCAAGGCGCAUGCGCAGCGGCGUCAGGAGCCUGGCCAGGUGAUGUAUGGGUGUAAUGAGGCUCAGUAAAUGAUGGCUGACCAGAUGGUCCCGCUGUGUAACCCGUCUCAGUCAUCACCGCAUCUGAAAUAGUCGGGUCAAUGUGGCCACCCUUAGACUGGCGUGGAGGGAUAUCAAACUCAGCCUCUCUAUGCUCAAAAUCGGUCUGAGGGUGUACCCCACCCUCCAUCUCCCUAAUCUCCUCCUCUUCGUCUUCCUCUGCCUGUGGAUGUGGUACUGGUCGGUCCGCCCUCCUAAUCCAUGACCCAUCUGGGGCCUUCUCCAACUUCAUCCGCGCCAUCGACUGCUCAUCAUAUGUGUCAUAACUGCUGGGCGCCUCGACCUCCUGCUCCCUGCUCAAAUCCACCCCCGCAUCCUUGAACACUCGUGUCAUGAAGCGGCCAUAUGGGAGAAUGCGUUUGGGCCUCUCGCAGCAUGCCAUCAUGUGCAUCAUCAUGACAUACCCGACGUCAAUACGUCUCCCCGUCAUAAUCGAAUCAAUCAGAAAUGCCUCCAGAUAGGAAACCUCAUCUCGAUGACCGCCACGUGGUAGGAGGAUGUACGCUAUCAUGUGGUGAAGGACUCGGCAGGUCACUGUCAGGCUAUGGGCCGAUGGUUUGCCCAACCCCGGGGCAUCUGCAAGGCCGUAGAUCCUCUGAAUCGCCUCUCUCGGAUCGAAACCCGGCACCGUCGGCCAGGUCUUGGCAUCAUAUACUCGGAGUCCACCAGGAGGAAUGUCCAAAAUGCGGCAGAUGCUCUCCGGGUCCAGAUGGAUCUGAACCCCUCUAACGGUCGAAGUGAUCGGUCCUCCAUGUCCAAAUGUCACACGGGAAUAGAAUGCCCUGACUAAUGUCGGAAAAAUGGGCUCUGAAAUAGUGACUAAGGGCAGCCACCCCAUGCAUGCAAAGAGGCUCUCAAACCCGAAAUGUUGUAGAUGGGCGAAAUUUAUAUUUCUCCCUGCAACCACCUUCCUCUGGACGAAAUGCUGCUUGUACCUCUGGUAUUCGUCGACCGAAGUGAAAAGGCCGGUGUCGAACCUCGCCUUUCGGCGAGCCUCCGCCUGACCGUCCUGAGAAGCCUGAGCAGGGCGCUUGCCCAGUGCCUUCGACGCACCCCUAUCUCUCCUAGGCGCCAUGAAACACUACAAAGGGCUACCCCUAUGUCAAAACAAGGCCAAUGAAAGAGUCUGUGACGCGCGCGGGAAGAGAAGAGAACCCGCCUGUGACGCGCAAUGAAGGAGGACCAUUGCCAAACCUCACUCCCUAGGUCCGAAAUGUGAAGCCGCACCCCUCAAAACUCACUCCGAAGGCUUGCAACAGCUGGAAUCGCGUCCAAAGUGGGUGUGUGGCAGCUCAAUCGGUGGAUCCCUUCGACUGCCAGAGGAUAACACUGAAGAAAUUAAGCGCGGAAUGGUUUUUUAAACGUCACCCCGGCCGACCGGAUAUGAACCGGUUGACUCAGUAACAUGUUCCAUGGUGUUUUGCACUUUUUAAUAGGUAUAAUGCAAAACACUUGUGAUAUUCACUUUUUGUGGGGUUGCCUUAAAUAUUUUCUCCGUAUAUUUUAAAUAUUUUUAUAAAAUAGUUUUUAUAAAAACAAUAUAUGCAUUUUCUAUAAAAUAUUUUUAUUCUUAAAGGUAAAAAAUAAAAAUAUAUAUCCAAGUGCUACCUUAAUAAUUUAUUUUCUGUCCUCAAUUUUUCCACAAACAACCAUAUAAAAUUUCUUUAACUUUUUCUCUUUCCUUAUAUUUUCUUUUUUAAUUUUUUGGCUUCAAACUUUUUAGGAAUCCAACAUAAUAAAAGAUGGCGCUUUAAAGGUUUUUUUAAAGCAAUCCUAAAAACUUCUUAUUUUUUUAAGUGAGUUUUAUUAGCUUGAAUUUUAAAAUUUUUAGAAAUAAUUUUUGAAAAUAUAAGGUUUUUAAGUUAAUACCUUUUAUAAAAAGUUUCUAUUUUGUACAUAAAAAAAUUUUAUUUUGAAAAUUAGAAAUCAGAAAAUAUAAGGUUUUUAAGUUAAUACCUUUUAUAAAAAGUUUCUAUUUUUUACAUAAAAAAUUUUUAUUUUUAAAAAUAGAAAUCAGAAAAUAUAAGGUUUUUAAGUUAAUACCUUUUAUAAAAAGUUUCUAUUUUUUACAUAAUAAAUUUUUAUUUUUAAAAAUAGAAAUCAGAAAAUAUAAGGUUUUUAAGUUAAUACCUUUUAUAAAAAGUUCCUAUUUUUUACAUAAAAAAAUUUUAUUUUUAAAUAUAGAAAUCAGAAAAUAUAAGGUUUUUAAGUUAAUACCUUUUAUAAUUCCUUUGUCUAUUUAGCCUAUUUGAUUAUUAAUAUUUGUAUAUGAAGAAUUUAUUCGAUUUAUAAAAAAUAAAUAUGAAUAUAAUUAAAAUGUAAAUUCAAGAAAAAAAGAUAUUUAAUUAAAAAAUGAAAACAAAUCACAACAAAACAAUAUCACACAUCAAGAACAUGUUACUUUGUCAUAAUAUUUAUUGUUUUUGUUUUAGUUUUCAUAAAUUGAAUGGUUUUGGGUUUGGAAAAAUAUAAAUUAUGGUAAUAUAACUAAAAAGAUAAUUUUUAUCAAAAUAAUUUUUAAGGCUUGAAUGUUAUAUUAAUUGAAUUUAGGUGUUCUCCCACUGAGUAAUUUAUCCAAUAAGCAACUUGGCUUGGGUUUUGCUUCUGGUUUUUUUCAUUGACUUGAGGUUGACUUGAGGUACCAUUGCAACCCCUUCCCUGUAGGUAGGAAGCGGUCGCAGUAUAACACUAACACAAAUGUCCAUAUCUCUAUCCCAAUCAUUUACAUCUUUCAGAUCAUAUGAAAAAUUGCGACUAUAUGAAAAAAUCAACAUUAAAGGAAUGCGGGAGUUGGAAGAAUUACAGGAAUUGGGGGAGUACCCUUCCCUAGUUUUUUUAAAGAUCAGUUACUGCCGCAAUCUGAUGAAGUUGCCAUCCCACUUUCCUUAUUUAGAAGAUCUAAAGAUCAAACAUUGCGUCUCUCUCAACACCCUUGUUGUGACCCCACUUCUGAAAGUUCUCGUGCUAGUUGACAAUAUUUUUCUGGAAGAUUUGAAUGAAGUGAAGCAGUCAUUCUCUAGUCUUUUGGUAUUGAGAUUAAUUGUUGCCCAAAGCUGAAGGUAUUACCUCAAAUAUGUACCCCAGAUAAGAUGGAGAUUGGUGGGUCUAAUUUACUGGAAGCUCUCUCAGCCCGAGAUUACUCCCAACAUCUUGAGCACUUGAUCGUGGAUGAAUGCGAGGAUGAAACACUGGUAGUGGGGGCAAUACCAAGGAGGACUUCUCUAAACUCUUUGGUCAUUUCAAACAUCUCAAAGGCAACCUGUUUCCCCAAGUGGCCUCAUCUUCCUGGUCUCAAGGCUUUGCACAUCUGUCAUUGGAAAGAUCUGGUAACUUUAUCCCAAGAAGCAUCACCAUUCCAAGAUUUGACCUAUCUCAAACUGUUGUCAGUUGUCAAGUAUCUAAUCUAAAAUAGGUUCCAGCAUCGGAAAUUUGGCUGAAAAUUGUCCCCUUAAUUUAUAUAUAACCAUACUAUCCCAAUCAUUUAUAUUUUUCGAAAGUUAAAAAAUCCACUAUAUGAAAAAUUAGCAUUUAAGAAAAGAAAUCAUUUGUUUUCUAAAAAAAUUAAGUACUAAUAACUUGUAUAUUGUUUUAUCAUUUCUUAAAAUUUUGUCCAAAUUUAAAAAUAACCUCUUACUUUAAUUUGAGCCCCUUCUUAAUUAUAUUACAUUUUGAUUUUUUAAAUAAAACUAAGAAUUAUUUAAAAAUUUUAAAAUUUUGUCCAAUUCUCCAGGAACCGGUCGACCGAAACUGAUCGACCGGUCUAUAUCCGGACGAGGGUGCCAAAAUGCACCCUCUCUCAUCCAGUAGCUUGUCCAAACCUCCAAGAACCGGUCGACCGAAACUGAUCGACCGGUCUAUCUCCGGACGAGGGUGCCAAAAUGCACUCUCUCUCAUCCAGUAGGGUGUGCGCGACCGGCUGAAGAAAGGUUCGACCGGUUUACCAAUGGCUGAAGGACAAUAUCGACCGGUCGAACACUUUAUGCUUUCCGAUCCACGGGUCCAUCUAGACCGGUUCCUGGGUUGGCCAUAUAUACACCUGCAUUGUACUGUAUAAAUUGUAAACGAUAUGUACGAGAUUGUUGAUGAAAAGGUUUGUUAUAGGUUGUAAUGCCGGUGCCUUUUAUUAGAUGUUUUGAGAUAGUGAGGGAAAAUGCGACUUCAUCACAACCUUCAUUAAAUAUAUAAGCCAUAAAAUUGGCAAUACAAUGUCAGGAGUUGGUUUUUCCUGUAUAAUGUACAAUCAUCUUUAAUUCGCCCUAUUUACUUACAAUGCAUUGACAAGCAACUUAAGUAAAAAAACAAUCAAAUUCUGACUAAUCCCAUAAUCCCAGUGUUCAUUUCCGCAUAUGUCCACCAUAAAUUACAUACAAAUGUGCUAAUUUUAUACAGUUUUAUCACAAAUUACAAUCCCCUUUAAUCUCUCCGGACACGGUCUCGGUGUGCAUUUUGUGCUGAGAACAACAUACUCCCCAUGAUCUUCAACCUGUAAUGUUUCAAUUUCCCCUGCGUUCAUUCACGUUGAUAGCAACAAAUCAGCAAAUUAAUUAAUUAGGUUUUUCUAACUAUUUUAACAUUAAUGAGAUAGUCAUAGAUAAUUCCUCCUACGUACCACAUCGAUUGAUUUGGAGAACCCCCCCAUUGACCACAAUUCCAUGAAUUUCAUUACAAAAACUCCACAAUCGUGCCUACGUCAAUAUAAUUACCAAAACGUUAAUAAGUGUGGAAUUAUAAAUAAGAGAUGAACUUCAAAUAAAUUGCAAUCUUAUACAAUAUCCCGGACUGCAAGGUCAACACUCACUCAUUAGUUUGGAGGGGUACAUCAGGUGUUAUGAAAUUGAAUGUCCUCAAAUCAUAAGGUGAUACCUCUUUUUUGUGGGCAGCCAACCACAGGACAACCUUGGCCUGAAACAUUUAGUAACACAACAAUUGAAAUUUUAAUGGGAAGACAUACCUAUCAAAUUAUUACUUGUUGCUUGUUACUUUACCAGAUUUUGUUGGACUCCACUCAACAUUGUCUUCUUUCUACCAGGACGAGAAUCUAGCAGUUGGAUUCUCCUGUUUUCUAGGUCAUAUACAUACAAUGUCCAAUGGUUCUUUAUGAGAACCGGUAAGAAGACCUGCACCAAUAGACUGCCAUUAAACAUACAUCUAAAUAUUGUACAUUCAUGCAAUAAAAAUACAAAUCCAAGCAUUAAACAUAUGAAUCCACCUCGUUAACAUUGACAUAUGGAAUAUCAAUCUGAUACAGAUGUGGUUCAAAGCGUCUAAUAACUGCCUCCCUAACUAAGUUUUUUGCCUGGGAGUGGAUUACCAUUUCCUGCAUGUUAGAUACGGGAUAAUAUCAGGUUUCUCAUUGUAGGUGAUGCCUGGUUCAAGACAAAAAAUAAAGAUAAGCAAGGAUUUAAUGGAAUAGUCAUCAUUAUAGCUAUGUAGGGGGAUAGAAAAAGUUUCGACUUCGGUUCAUGUUGAUACUGCAACAAUCUACAGUAGGAAUCGACGACCUGAUUUCGUAUAUCAUAAAAGUGUAAGCAACAAAUUAAUUUAGAACCACACUUUCAUUUUCAAACUUAAAAUAAUGCAUAAAGAGGGAUAAGAAAUGAUAUGCACGUCGUUUCCUAUCCACCCAUUCCCUUGGAAGCAGCCCAAAUUGGCUCUGGUUAGAAUAGUGUCAUGCAUAGACACUAGUUCCUCACUGUUACAAAAAAAUACAAUUUAGUUUUUGUGUUUUAACUAUCAUACAAUGAGAGGAGUGUCACUCAAGUAUGUUACCUUGCAUCCAAAUCGUCUCCAAAUACCAGUGCAGCUCCUUGUUUUAGGUCGAUUUUGAUGGCAGAUUGUUUGGUUUGUGGUUGGGAUAUGUAUGGGGACAACAGGUUUGGAGCCAUGCGACGCACUCGACAUCUCCGGACGUUUCUAUUUGUGGGGACAACAUUACCUUCUGGUUGUUCUUCAGCAUCUGCAAUACGAGAUUUAGAACUAGUCAGCAAAGGUAUACAUUAUGAUUGGGUACAUGGGUUGUUAACCAUAUGGGUGUUUGCAUAAAUUUGAUCACUUACCGCUUACUACAUUAAUGGGUACACUGGGCUGCAACUCAUACUCAGGGGCGACAACGCGAUCUGGUGUGUCUAGCACAUGGUAUGCAGCAUGCGAAGCCAUGUACUCAUCACCAGGAAAUGCAUGGUCAUCGGCUGUGGGAGGGCUGGCUGGUGCAUAGCUAGAGUGACCACCCGCAUCUGAAUUUACCCCACUAUGUCUGCGAGUCCCUAACUUAUGCAUAAGGCCAUGCAUUAUUCUCAGCUGCUGCUGAAUGCCCCUUUGAUAUUGGUCGAUUGCUCGUUCUGCAUCAUGAUAUUGAUGCCAUAUUUCCUAUGACAUGAUAUUGUUGUCAAUCUUUGAGAACAGAAUGUGACAACAACAUAUUUCUUUGUAGUUAAGAAGUAAAAAUAAAUUACAAUGACAAUGAAAUGAACAUUUAUUAAGUUUUUGAAAAAUUCACAGCUUACAUCACUAUUUUCAGCAUCAACAUUUGUGUCAUGGUCCACAUUAGUCUCUGGCUCCAUAGUUCUCUCUACGGUUGGAGAUCUCUGGGACGCCUAUAAUUAGCACUGAAGAUUAGUACUUAAAUAAUGAGUGUUAUGCUAGUAAUGACAAUAUAUUUAUGCAUGCAUAACUUACAAAAUCACUCUCAGCAUGUCCGAAUGCUCCAAACUCCUUUAUCUCAGCGACUAGUCGUCGCUUAAUCAAAUCAUCAGUCCAUGCCAAUGCUGGGGGCACUGUAAUGGGGACUUGGACUGAAGGAAUUUGGAAUUUAAUGACAUAAUGCAGCUGCAAAAUAAAUAGAAACAUCAAUAAGCAAAUGUGAAUAUGUUGUGCAAUAAAAUUAGAUAAGAAAAUGGAAGACAAAGACUGAAUAAGUUCACUACCUGAAGAAAUAAAACGCAGCCAUGUACCCAAGAGGUCUUAGAUUGUUGGAAUCGCCUAAUUCCCUCAACCAGUUGGUCAAGCACAAACUGGGCCCAAUUAACAUCAUUUCGGAAUCCAUCCUCAUGGAUGGUAUGCCACAAGUUACGGCAACCAUUGAGCCUAGACGUGGGGGCCAACAAUGUGGCACAUGUGUAGUAAAUGAAUGCUCUACGGAACUCCUCGCCUACAGGUAAGUCUAGGAGUUUCUCCUCGCAUGCCCGAAUAGUCCCAAAUGGAUGAUCUGAUGAUGUGGAGGUCACCUGCAAAUUCCGUCCUUCUGUUGGGAGGCCUAAAAUGAGGCCAACAUCGGUGGCUGUAACAGGAUAGUGUUUAUGGGCUGAGAACUCUAUCCGUCUAAAUCCAACAUUGAAAUGUUGGAUUAGAAAGAUACAGAGGUUGUGGCGUACCUCUGUGCAGUUUAAGUUUAAGAGACCUCCAAAUUGGAGGUCUCUUAUGGCUUGAAUUUUUGCCUCUGGUAAUCGGUUGCACAGUUUCUUAAAUCUUGCAGCUGAGCAUCGUGUAAACAUUGAUGUGCCCUGCAUGCAAUGUUAGAAAACAUGGACAUGUUAGGAAUAGCAACAUUCUUGCAGUUGGUAAUGCAAUAAAAUAAGUGAAAAAGUAAAGCUGUCAUUUCUCAAAGUUACAAAGAUUUGUCUGCUUGUAUUUAGAAAUAAUAUACAGCAGGGUAAGACAUUAGAUGGGGUUGGGUGCUACUAACAGUGAGAUAUCCUGUAAGAGGGAGGAUUGAAAAUUUAUGAAUAAGGCUAUAUAGAAUAGGCAAUAACAGUCAAAAUGUACAGAAUAGACUAUAAAAGAAAAAAAUAAAUAUGAGAAUACUACAUGAUAUAUAAAAGAAAGAAAUCAAAUCAAUUUAUGUAAAUAAAUUGACUAAUUAUAUUAGAGAAAGAAACCAUCAACAAAUCAAUGAAUAAUCCUAUUUAACCUGCUCCUUUUGAUACUUCUGACAUACACAAAAUCUAGAGGAACUGCUAGAGCAAGCACUUUGCUACUGCCAUUGAACAUGGACAAGGUUUGGAAUCCAAGUUUCUGUUGAGAGUAUUCCCACAUGGUACUAACUAUCAGUGAAGAAUUGUACACUAUCAUUUGAUACCACGAAUCAUGUGUUUGACCAAAGUUCAUGCAUACCUAAGUUGUUAGCUGAGUGAGGAUUCAUGGGAAAAUAAAUGUAACAUAGGACUAUUAAUCUAAACUUGUGAAAGUUUUGAGGCUUGAAUCUGAUUCAAUGGCCAUAAUAAUCUAAAAUUUGCAGAAAAGAGGAAGUGGGCAUUUAAAAUAAGGUAAUGAUACACUAUGAAAUGCUACUACAUACUUUUUUGUAGAAUAGUAAACAAAGAGUAUGUUUACGCUUGAAAACAAGAAUAAAUAAGAUGAAUCCAUGAGUGUUGGAGAAUUAAAUGAAUGAAGAGGAGUUUGGAAACCAUACUUUAUGUUGGAGAAUAAAAGUUAUGUGCUAUGACUUUAUGUUUUUUUUUUCUGUUAACUUAUAGAAGUAUUUUCAUUGUUGUAAGGAUUCUGCAAGAAGAUAUACAUGAGCAAUUUUAAAUGUCUGUACUGCUCCUGGCAAAAGCCACAUUGGGUACAAGUUUGCCACAUCAGUUUGCUUGGUCAGUGCGUGAAUCACCGUAAAUGAAUUUAUGUAACUGGUUCAAAAUACUGGUAUAUGAAGUGUGUAGAGAGCUAUGCACCUUGCUUAAGUCAAUUGUUUGAAUCUUAGAGACAAAAAAUAAUACAGAAUUUGCCACCCGAAAAAAAUGUAUGUCCAGAGUCCAAGGCACUGAGAAAUUGGCAAGGCAUGGCUCUCCACCUUCAUAUUUAAAUCACUUAGAAAGUGAAGCAAAAAGAAGCCUAAUGUCUCAAUACCAUUGAGGUCCCCAUAAAUAAUUGUGAUCAUUUAACCCUGGGGACCUGGCUAAAGUGGCUACAGAGGUAAGGGUUACCUAUAACUCAAGUGGCUAAAGAGUUAAUCCCAUCCCCAUCACCAUUCCUACCAGAACACCUCUCUUUAUCCCUUCCUCUACCCUCCUCCCUCAUCAUAGAGGACAUGGUUUUUGCCUAUCCCCAUAGCUGUAUAGCGAAGACCAUUAGAUCCCUAAAGCAUAAUUGUAUAUGGUGUUAGUGAACCACAUUUUCUAUAUUACCAAAUUGAACACAAAUAUUACCCGACAACUUACAAAGCUGAUAUAAUAGUAUUUAAUAAAUAAACGUUGAAUUGUUAAAACUUCAAUAUUAGAGAACUUUCCAACAUAACUGAUACAUGGUAACUAUAAUAAGGGACAUGAAGAAAUCACUUAAAUUUAAUGCAUAAUAUAUAUAUAUAUACUAACUUAAAAGGUANNNNNNNNNNNNNNNNNNNNNNNNNNNNNNNNNNNNNNNNNNNNNNNNNNNNNNNNNNNNNNNNNNNNNNNNNNNNNNNNNNNNNNNNNNNNNNNNNNNNNNNNNNNNNNNNNNNNNNNNNNNNNNNNNNNNNNNNNNNNNNNNNNNNNNNNNNNNNNNNNNNNNNNNNNNNNNNNNNNNNNNNNNNNNNNNNNNNNNNNNNNNNNNNNNNNNNNNNNNNNNNNNNNNNNNNNNNNNNNNNNNNNNNNNNNNNNNNNNNNNNNNNNNNNNNNNNNNNNNNNNNNNNNNNNNNNNNNNNNNNNNNNNNNNNNNNNNNNNNNNNNNNNNNNNNNNNNNNNNNNNNNNNNNNNNNNNNNNNNNNNNNNNNNNNNNNNNNNNNNNNNNNNNNNNNNNNNNNNNNNNNNNNNNNNNNNNNNNNNNNNNNNNNNNNNNNNNNNNNNNNNNNNNNNNNNNNNNNNNNNNNNNNNNNNNNNNNNNNNNNNNNNNNNNNNNNNNNNNNNNNUACCCCAAACAACUCCGAAACACUACGCAAUAUCCCUUAAUGUCUAUCUGAUAUAAUAAUUACUUCUUGACCAUCUAGGAUCCCCUUCAAUUUCUCCAAGAACCAAUACCAAUCCUCAUAAUUUUCUGAACCAACCACACCCAAGGCUAGAGGGAACAUUCCAUCAUCUGCAUCAUAUGCAAUGGCAGACAAAAGAGCUCCUUUGUAUGGACCACUUAGGUGGCAAGAAUCAAUAGCCAAUACCGGUCGACACCCCAUGGUGAACCCUUGAAUUGAAAAUGCGUGGGCAAUGAACAAUUGCUUGAAGUGACCUUCAUGAGAAGUGUACUCGGCAAUAGUUCCAGGGUUAAUUUCCCUUAGUCUAUGGCAUAACCAAGGCAAAUACGCGUAGGACGCACGUGGAGAUCCAUAUACACGCUCUUUUGCCUUCUCUUUAAGAUGCCAUGCUUGGUUAUAAGUCAAUUGAACUCCAUGAUCACUUUCAAAAUCCUUGCAAAUUUGUCGAGGAAGGUAUUCUGGAGUUGUUCUAAACACGUCUUCAACAACAACAACACCUCUCUUGGAAGAAACCCGUACCUUAGAUGAACACUCAUCUUGAGCUAUAUGAUUAUGAUUAACUUGGUAAGUAUAAACUCGCAAUAUUUCAUUUCCUUCAACAGCAUGAGCUGUUAUCUUCCAAGGACAAUCCUCAACCGAACACUUUACUGACAUAUGAGUGGGUGAAUUUUUCUUGUACUUGUAUUGAAACCUUCCAGCUAAUGACAUUUGGUAUAUUGCAUUCCGAAACUCAUCUACAUUCUUAAAUGUAUGUCCGGAACCUAAUAUUGCCUCACGAAACCGAUUCGAUUCCAAAGGGGUGUACUCACUAUAUGCACAACGCGAUGCAAAACCUCUUGAUAACAUCAUAGUAUUAGGAUUUGCAUCGCAUGAUGCAUUAGACGAAGGAAACGUAGGAUGUGGACCUCUGCAUUUACAUUCAUAACCAAAAUUAGACUACAUAAUGCGUAAAAUUGAUAUUCAUAAAAUUUUAAAUAGACAUCCAAGUGAAAACGCAUUACCCAAGUGCCAACUGUGUAUUCGGUAUAUUUGCCUCUAUGGCUUCCACACCGGGUGACUCGACUAUGUACACAUUUGCAAAGUCAUCAUUGUGGGAAACCACGUUAUCCAAGUCAUCCUCAUCUUCUAAAUCUUGGAUGACUCUAGGGUUAAACUUGAGGGUGUAGUGCAUCCUCCUCACAUGAAGGGAAAUGUCGAAUUUUUCUAAGACCUUCUGAGUGAAUUCUUCAAAUGUCAUUCCUUUAUAAAUGUGAAUACCUUUGCUUCUUCCACCAACAUAUUCCCAAACGCCAUCAUUUUUUUGGACAAGUUUCCCUCCCACGAAAAUAUAACAGUAUAUUCUAUUUGUGGCAUCCAUCAACCUAUUGAAAUAAAGCACAAAUUUAUAUUGUUGAACAAACAAUAAUGCAUAUUCAAUGUGAUCUUAAAAGUUUUUUCAUUUCACAAUAUACUAUGUUCCCAUACGAAAAAGUUAUAUUUUAAAAAAUGUAUAUACAAAAAAAUGUAACUUUAAAGUCUUAAAAAAGAAUUUUUGUUGCUCUUUUUGAUUAUUCUAACCAUUGUCAACGGUAAGAUUAUUUUAAGAUAGGCACUAAUAAACAAACGCUGAGUUGAACUAAGAUAUGAAGACCGAGCUUCUCUCUUCUCUUGGACUAAUAAAUACUACCUAACCUAAACAAAACUAAAAAUAAUAAUAAAAAUAAAAAACAAAAAUGAGAAAUGUAAAACUGAAAUGGAAAUUAAAAGAUUGAAAUUAAUAGAUUAAAAAAAAUCAUUAAAUUAAAAACUAAGAAAGGCUAUAAAAGGAAAAAAAACAAAUCUCUAACUUAUUUUCCCUAUCAUUCCCCUUUACUUAUAUAUUCAUAGUUCACAUUUUUAUAAGCAAAAACCUCUCUCUCCAACUACUUUAGUGCUACCCAAUUUGACACUACUACUUACCUAUGCUAAUAAUCUAAUCGUGUCAAUACUUGGAACUUUAAGACAGAACAUCACAACAAUAUCUACUAAAGUAGGAGGAUUUUGUGUCUGAUUCGACUUAAUACUCCAGAACAUAUAUAUAUAUAUAUACACCAAAAACAUUGGAAUUAUGGAAGUAUAAGACAUUCAAUAGGAAAUAAUCCCCCACGUUUUAUUAAGCUCUGGCCUAUACUUACACUAGGUAGAAAACAAAUUCUCAUUCUCACUCAAACCCUUAGACAAUUUCUGUUGGUACUACUAUAUUAGACAUGCCUACAAACUUAUUCAAAGAGAAUGGAGAUAUUUAAAUAUUAAUUAUAAAGCGUUGCUUUUCAAAAUAAUAUGAAGAGAUAAUAGCCUAAAAAAUGUAACAAAUACAGAAUUCUCUUCUAAACUAUCAUGUCCUACUUUAGAUGAUUCAUACAAAACCAUAAGCAAUAGUUUAACACAUUUAAGGUUUAAGGGUCAAAAAAACUAAUAGAUAAAACGAGAUAAAUCUGUUACUUGUGCCUACAUCUCAAGCCAAUGCACCAUAAGAAAACUUUAGGGUUUUUAGGUUUUCCAUUUCCCCUUUCCAUUUUUCCUCUCCUGCUUUUCUAGCAACCAAUUAAACAAUUAUAAAUUAUUUUCAAGUAUAUAUGACAAAUUUUCACAAAUAUUUUUUUGAAUUUAAAAUAUACAAAUAGCAUGAAAAAAAAAAUCUAAAAAAAAUUACAAAAAUAUAAUCAGAUCGAUUAAGCCAUGAAUUAUGAGUUGCAGGUAAAGUGCAUUUUCUGUAUUCUCAAGGCUUAAAGAAAAAAUUAUGGUUCAAAAUUUUUCCUUUCUUUUUCUCAUUAUUUUCUCAGCAUCCAAAUAAUAGUAGCAAACCAAGAAGUCAAUUAUUGAAUGGAAACAGUAACUUGAACUCCGGAGAUCAAGUUGAACACAGUUUAGAGAUUUGGACUAAGAAAAUUUAGG
Molecule: long non-coding RNA, 18593 nt
Filed under: Vitis vinifera (wine grape)
Lineage: Eukaryota; Viridiplantae; Streptophyta; Magnoliopsida; Vitales; Vitaceae
Description: long non-coding RNA (VVIN_LNC006728)
Source: RNAcentral